Long non-coding RNA from Oncorhynchus tshawytscha (Chinook salmon), 521 nucleotides. Lineage: Eukaryota; Metazoa; Chordata; Actinopteri; Salmoniformes; Salmonidae. The record is from Ensembl.
CUUUAAUCUCAAGGACGACGUGCAAUGGACCUGAGCCCUAGGACCAUGCCUCAGAACUACCUGGCAUGAUGACUCCUUGCUGUCCCCAGUCCACCUGGCUGUGCUGCCUGGCCGUGCUGUCCAUCGAAUGGACUCAAGCUUCUGACUGAGCUCAAUUACACACAAAUACAGCAAUGAGUUUCUCUCUCUUGAUGUAAUACAAACUUUGAGAAAUAACAAGGAGCACCCACAAUGUGUUUUGUGUAAAGAAGUGCUUUGUAAUGAGUCUCUCAAAACAAACAAAUUAAAAUGACAUGUCCUGACCAAACAUCCACAGCAUAACGGUAAACCCAGGGAGUUAUUUCAGAACAGGGAAGAAUGCUUCAGGAAACAGGGAUUCAGGAAACAGGGCAUCAUGAAACAGUGCUUCAGGAAACAGUGCUUCAGGAAACAGUGCUUCCACAGUGGACAAGUGAGUGUGACCUCUGACCUUGGAUUCUGGCUCAGCCUCUGAUCUGGGGUCAGCUCUAUGGGGGUCGGCG